This 432-nucleotide ribosomal RNA is filed under the name uncultured bacterium. RNAcentral's name for it is "partial 16S ribosomal RNA". It matches the Rfam family "Bacterial small subunit ribosomal RNA", at positions 29 to 506 of the family's 1533-position model. The record is from RNAcentral.
AACGAACGCUGGCGGCAUGCCUAACACAUGCAAGUCGAACGAGACCUUCGGGUCUAGUGGCGCACGGGUGCGUAACGCGUGGGAACCUGCCCUUAGGUUCGGAAUAACUCCCCGAAAGGGGUGCUAAUACCGGAUAAUGUCUUCGGACCAAAGAUUUAUCGCCUUUGGAUGGGCCCGCGUUGGAUUAGCUAGUUGGUAGGGUAAAAGCCUACCAAGGCGACGAUCCAUAGCUGGUCUGAGAGGAUGAUCAGCCACACUGGGACUGAGACACGGCCCAGACUCCUACGGGAGGCAGCAGGGGGGAAUAUUGGAAAAGGGGCGAAAGCCUGAUCCAGCAAUGCCGGGUGAGUGAGGAAGGCUUUGGGGUUGUAAAGCUCUUUUCCCCGGGAUGAUAAUGACAGUACCGGGAGAAUAAGCUCCGGCUAACCCCGU